Molecule: non-coding RNA, 69 nt
Organism: Podarcis lilfordi (Lilford's wall lizard)
Lineage: Eukaryota; Metazoa; Chordata; Lepidosauria; Squamata; Lacertidae
Source: the annotation of a GenBank genome assembly
UCCUGAGGUAACUCAGUUGGGUAGAGCGUGGUGCUGAUAAAGGUCACAGGUUCAAUCCCUGUAUGGGAA